Molecule: non-coding RNA, 190 nt
Filed under: Thermosediminibacter oceani
Lineage: Bacteria; Bacillati; Bacillota; Clostridia; Thermosediminibacterales; Thermosediminibacteraceae
Also listed under: 1 other name
Description: Lysine sequence
Rfam family: Lysine riboswitch aptamer
About the family: Riboswitches are metabolite binding domains within certain messenger RNAs that serve as precision sensors for their corresponding targets. Allosteric rearrangement of mRNA structure is mediated by ligand binding, and this results in modulation of gene expression. This family includes riboswitches that sense lysine in a number of genes involved in lysine metabolism, including lysC.
Source: RNAcentral
AGUUGAGGUAGAGGCGCGACAGACCAAGAGUACCCUUGUAGAGGCGCGAGAGGCCGAAGAUGCAUGGGGAAAGGGGUCGUCGCCGAAGUGCAAUCCGAUUCUCGUAGGAUUGUGCUGGGCCUAUAUCGAACAGGUAUAGGACUGUCACCAAAAAACUUCCCCGGUUUUUUGGUGAAGCGCUACUUCAUUC